AUGAACGCUGGCGGCGUGCCUAACACAUGCAAGUCGCACGGAGAUUACGGACGGAAGUUUUCGGAUGGAAGACUGUAAUUCUUAGUGGCGGACGGGUGAGUAACGCGUGGGCAACCUGCCCUAUACAGGGGGAUAGCAGCUGGAAACGGCUGGUAAGACCGCAUAAGUCGGCGAGACCGCAUGGUUUUGCCGGGAAAUGAGCAAUCAGGUAUAGGAUGGGCCCGCGUCCGAUUAGCCAGUUGGCAGGGUAAAAGCCUACCAAAGCAACGAUCGGUAGCCGGACUGAGAGGUCGGACGGCCACAUUGGGACUGAGACACGGCCCAAACUCCUACGGGAGGCAGCAGUGGGGGAUAUUGCACAAUGGAGGAAACUCUGAUGCAGCGACGCCGCGUGAGUGAAGAAGUAUUUCGGUAUGUAAAGCUCUAUCAGCAGGGAAGAUGAUGACGGUACCUGACUAAGAAGCCCCGGCUAACUACGUG
Molecule: ribosomal RNA, 480 nt
Filed under: uncultured bacterium
Lineage: Bacteria
Description: partial 16S ribosomal RNA
Rfam family: Bacterial small subunit ribosomal RNA
Source: RNAcentral